CACGUAGUUAGCCGUGGCUUUCUCAUAAGGUACCGUCAAUUGAUAGUCAUUUCCUCCUAUCACCUUUCUUCCCUUAUAACAGAAUUUUACAACCCGAAGGCCUUCUUCAUUCACGCGGCGUUGCUCGGUCAGGCUUUCGCCCAUUGCCGAAGAUUCCCUACUGCCGCCUCCCGUAGGAGUCUGGGCCGUGUCUCAGUCCCAGUGUGGCCGUUCACCCUCUCAGGUCGGCUACGCAUCGUCGCCUUGGUAGGCCUUUACCCCACCAACUAGCUAAUGCGCCGCAGGCUCAUCCAUCAGUGAUGCCAGGAGCAUCUUUAAACUUUCGUCCUAUCCGGUAUUAGCGAUCGUUUCCAAUCGUUGUCCCCGUCUGAUGGGCAGAUCACCUACGUGUUACUCACCCGUUCGCCGCUUCCCACCGAAGUGGUUCGCUCGACUUGCAUGUAUUAGGCACGCCGCCAGCGUUCAUCCUGAGCCAGGAUCAAACUCU
Molecule: ribosomal RNA, 487 nt
Filed under: uncultured Turicibacter sp.
Lineage: Bacteria; Bacillati; Bacillota; Erysipelotrichia; Erysipelotrichales; Turicibacteraceae
Description: partial 16S ribosomal RNA
Source: RNAcentral